RNAcentral lists this ribosomal RNA (378 nucleotides) under uncultured bacterium. RNAcentral's name for it is "bacterial SSU rRNA". It matches the Rfam family "Bacterial small subunit ribosomal RNA", at positions 523 to 898 of the family's 1533-position model. The record is from RNAcentral.
AGACGAACCAAGCGAACGUUAUUCGGAAUUACUGGGCUUAAAGCGCGUGUAGGCGGACUACCACGUCGGUCGUUGAAAUCCCCCGGCUUAACCGGGGAACUGGCGCCGAUACGAGUAGUCUGGAGGUGGGUAGGGGAGACUGGAACUUCCGGUGGAGCGGUGAAAUGCGUUGAGAUCGGAAGGAACGCCCGCGGCGAAAGCGAGUCUCUGGACCCAAACUGACGCUGAGACGCGAAAGCCAGGGGAGCAAACGGGAUUAGAUACCCCGGUAGUCCUGGCUGUAAACAUUGGGCACUGGGUAGUGGAACCGCCGAUGGUUUCACUGCCGCAGGGAAACCGUGAAGUGCCCCGCCUGGGGAGUAUGGUCGCAAGGCUGAA